CUUGUUUUAUUUUUAAUUCUUUUUUUUUUCCCCAAGCUCUGGAUACCAUCUCCUCACCUCCAGGGAUGUCUCAGGAGCACGUGUGGACUCCGUGACAGGUAACUCUAGCACCACACGGCCGUUACUGAACAUUAUGGGAGGCGGUUACUUCCCUGCGAAGCCGCUGAGCACUGCGGCUGUGCCAGGUGGCUCAGAGGAGCUGCUCAUGUGGCACGACAAAUCAACCUGUUUUUACCUUUCUCACCAAGAAGUCAUCACCCUCACGAGAGCCACAAUGACUGCUUUCAAGAUGAGGCUGACUUUUGGCUAACAGGUGCAGAAGGUCCAGCAUUGUGCUCCCAUUCCAGUCAUUCUUCUGACGAGAUAAAUCAGAGCCCACUUCAUUUGGUGAAAAGAGGAUGAGGAGGGGGCAAGGGGAGGAUGGAAGGAUAAGGACGAAGUGAAAUGAGGCUCCACUACAAAUUGUAGUUUCUACCUUCAGGAUAGGCGAUAUGUAGAAUUACCUUAAAAACUUUUAUAUGUAAAUGAAUUGAAUUGUAUCAGAUGGGUUUUGUUUGUUUGGCUGGGAGAAUUUAAGAACGCAAAUGACUGAAUAGAUUUCUUUCCAUUUCUAAA
This 615-nucleotide long non-coding RNA is filed under the name Numida meleagris (helmeted guineafowl). RNAcentral's name for it is "lncRNA (ENSNMEG00000009629.1)". The record is from RNAcentral. Lineage: Eukaryota; Metazoa; Chordata; Aves; Galliformes; Numididae.